Molecule: ribosomal RNA, 482 nt
Filed under: uncultured bacterium
Lineage: Bacteria
Description: partial 16S ribosomal RNA
Rfam family: Bacterial small subunit ribosomal RNA
Source: RNAcentral
GACGAACGCUGGCGGCGCGCCUAACACAUGCAAGUCGAACGAGCGAGAGGAAGCUUGCUUUCUCGAGCGAGUGGCGAACGGGUGAGUAACGCGUGAGGAACCUGCCUCAAAGAGGGGAACAACAGUUGGAAACGACUGCUAAUACCGCAUAAGCCCACGGGUCGGCAUCGACCAGAGGGAAAAGGAGCAAUCCGCUUUGAGAUGGCCUCGCGUCCGAUUAGCUGGUUGGUGAGGUAACGGCCCACCAAGGCGACGAUCGGUAGCCGGACUGAGAGGUUGAACGGCCACAUUGGGGCUGAGACACGGCCCAGACUCCUACGGGAGGCAGCAGUGGGGAAUAUUGCACAAUGGGGGAAACCCUGAUGCAGCGACGCCGCGUGGAGGAAGAAGGUCUUCGGAUUGUAAACUCCUGUUGUUGAGGAAGAUAAUGACGGUACUCAACAAGGAAGUGACGGCUAACUACGUGCCAGCAGCCGCCGUAA